RNAcentral lists this long non-coding RNA (265 nucleotides) under Nicotiana benthamiana. RNAcentral's name for it is "long non-coding RNA (NBEN_LNC001740)". The record is from RNAcentral. Lineage: Eukaryota; Viridiplantae; Streptophyta; Magnoliopsida; Solanales; Solanaceae.
ACAAUCUAGAAUAAGAGAAUUUAAGAACAAGUGUAUGCAGUAUAACCUUACACCUAGAUUCAUGCCAGACGAAGUAGUUACUAGAUGGAAUUAUACAUAUAUAUUUUUAAAAGUUUGCUACAAAUAUAGAUUUCCAAUAACUGAAGUUGCUAAUGCACAUUGUAUUGAUCCUAGGUGUAUGUUAACAACUGAUACUUGGGAAGUCAUUAGUGAUGUGAUUAAAUUUUUACAUAAAUUUUAUACUGCUACUGUUGUGUUUUCUGGG